Molecule: ribosomal RNA, 2111 nt
Filed under: Limnohabitans sp. WS1
Lineage: Bacteria; Pseudomonadati; Pseudomonadota; Betaproteobacteria; Burkholderiales; Comamonadaceae
Description: bacterial LSU rRNA
Rfam family: Bacterial large subunit ribosomal RNA
Source: RNAcentral
AUAGAUCCUGAAACCGCAUGCUUACAAAAAGUAGGAGCCUCGAAAGGGGUGACUGCGUACCUUUUGUAUAAUGGGUCAGCGACUUACAUUCAGUGGCAAGGUUAACCGAAUAGGGAAGCCGUAGAGAAAUCGAGUCCGAAUAGGGCGAAUCAGUCGCUGGGUGUAGACCCGAAACCAAGUGAUCUAUCCAUGGGCAGGAUGAAGGUGCCGUAACAGGUACUGGAGGUCCGAACCGACUAAUGUUGCAAAAUUAGCGGAUGACCUGUGGAUAGGGGUGAAAGGCUAAACAAACUUGGAAAUAGCUGGUUCUCUCCGAAAACUAUUUAGGUAGUGCCUCAAGUAUUACCAUCGGGGGUAGAGCACUGUUUUGGCUAGGGGGUCAUGGCGACUUACCAAACCAAGGCAAACUCCGAAUACCGAUGAGUACAGCUUGGGAGACAGAGCACCGGGUGCUAACGUCCGGACUCAAGAGGGAAACAACCCAGACCGCCAGCUAAGGUCCCUAAAAUUGGCUAAGUGGGAAACGAAGUGGGAAGGCUAAAACAGUCAGGAUGUUGGCUUAGAAGCAGCCAUCAUUUAAAGAAAGCGUAAUAGCUCACUGAUCGAGUCGUCCUGCGCGGAAGAUGUAACGGGGCUAAGCCAGUUACCGAAGCUGCGGAUUUGCAAUUUAUUGCAAGUGGUAGGAGAGCGUUCUGUAGGCCUGUGAAGGUGGUGGUGUAAACCCUGCUGGAGGUAUCAGAAGUGCGAAUGCUGACAUGAGUAGCGUUAAAGGGGGUGAAAAGCCCCCUCGCCGUAAGCGCAAGGUUUUCUACGCAACGUUCAUCGGCGUAGAGUGAGUCGGCCCCUAAGGCGAGGCAGAGAUGCGUAGCUGAUGGGAAACAGGUCAAUAUUCCUGUACCGAUGACAAGUGCGAUGUGGGGACGGAGAAGGUUAGCUCAGCCAACUGUUGGAUAUGUUGGUUCAAGCCUGUAGUCGUGCUCGGUAGGCAAAUCCGCCGGGCUUAGAUGAGGGGUGAUAACGAGGGUGCUUGCACCUGAAGUGAGUGAUACCCUGCUUCCAGGAAAAGCCACUAAGCUUCAGCUUGUCAUUGACCGUACCGCAAACCGACACUGGUGCGCGAGAUGAGUAUUCUAAGGCGCUUGAGAGAACUCAGGAGAAGGAACUCGGCAAAUUGAUACCGUAACUUCGGGAGAAGGUAUGCCCCAAGUAGGUGAACUCGAACAGAGGGAGCCCAACGGGGUUGCAAAAAAUCGGUGGCUGCGACUGUUUAAUAAAAACACAGCACUCUGCAAACACGAAAGUGGACGUAUAGGGUGUGACGCCUGCCCGGUGCUGGAAGAUUAAAUGAUGGGGUGCAAGCUCUUGAUUGAAGUCCCAGUAAACGGCGGCCGUAACUAUAACGGUCCUAAGGUAGCGAAAUUCCUUGUCGGGUAAGUUCCGACCUGCACGAAUGGCGUAACGAUGGCCACACUGUCUCCUCCUGAGACUCAGCGAAGUUGAAAUGUUUGUGAUGAUGCAAUCUCCCCGCGGAAAGACGGAAAGACCCCAUGAACCUUUACUGUAGCUUUGUAUUGGACUUUGAACAGAUCUGUGUAGGAUAGGUGGGAGGCUUUGAAGCUGGAACGCUAGUUUCAGUGGAGCCGACGUUGAAAUACCACCCUGGUGUGUUUGAGGUUCUAACCUAGGUCCAUUAUCUGGAUCGGGGACAGUGCAUGGUAGGCAGUUUGACUGGGGCGGUCUCCUCCCAAAGCGUAACGGAGGAGUUCGAAGGUACGCUAGUUACGGUCGGACAUCGUGAUAAUAGUGCAAUGGCAUAAGCGUGCUUAACUGCGAGACUGACAAGUCGAGCAGAUACGAAAGUAGGACAUAGUGAUCCGGUGGUUCUGUAUGGAAGGGCCAUCGCUCAACGGAUAAAAGGUACUCUGGGGAUAACAGGCUGAUACCGCCCAAGAGUUCAUAUCGACGGCGGUGUUUGGCACCUCGAUGUCGGCUCAUCUCAUCCUGGGGCUGUAGCCGGUCCCAAGGGUAUGGCUGUUCGCCAUUUAAAGAGGUACGUGAGCUGGGUUUAAAACGUCGUGAGACAGUUUGGUCCCUAUCUUCCGUGGGCGCUG